GGCUUCAUAGCUCAGUUAGUUGGACUAUCGCACCGGUAUCGCGAGUAUAUGGGUUCAAACCCCGUUGAAGUCC
This 73-nucleotide transfer RNA is filed under the name Acropora cervicornis. RNAcentral's name for it is "tRNA-Thr". It matches the Rfam family "tRNA". Rfam says of the family: Transfer RNA (tRNA) molecules are approximately 80 nucleotides in length. Their secondary structure includes four short double-helical elements and three loops (D, anti-codon, and T loops). The record is from RNAcentral. Lineage: Eukaryota; Metazoa; Cnidaria; Anthozoa; Scleractinia; Acroporidae.